Molecule: long non-coding RNA, 1140 nt
Organism: Engraulis encrasicolus (European anchovy)
Lineage: Eukaryota; Metazoa; Chordata; Actinopteri; Clupeiformes; Engraulidae
Exons: 3
Source: RefSeq, a predicted model, not a curated record
AGCUGAAUAGCAUUAAAAUUAUAUCGGGGGGCCAGAUAAAACUGCCUCAAGGGUCGCAAACGGCCCUAGAGACAUAGGUUCCCCACCCCUGGCCUACAUUGUCAAUAUGACUUGUGCUACUUUAUAGAUAAGUAAUCAAUGCUGUGCAUUGCUAUGUUUUGAUUUAUUUUCUUACAUCCUACAGAUCCUGGCAGGGAGACGGUAGUGUCCUGCAGAAUGGUGAUGGGCCAAUCUUACAAGAGACCACAGAAAACUGAUAUAGUGAACUAUAGAAACAACAGUGCCUGCUGCAGUAUAAUGAGGACACCCUGAGCAGAGAGCUCCAAUAGACCCAGGUCCAGUGUCUUGGCAGGGUGAAAUGGCACUGAUAUGGUGUCCUGCAGGAUGCUGUGUCCUGCAAUCCUGUGUGCUGUGCUACAGACGCGUGUGGAGGUCAACCCAAAAUGGGCACAGUCUCACCACAGAAGAGUGAAAGAGGGUAAGCUUAACCUAUAGCCUACGUCAGUGGUGGGGAACCUUUCUCAUUCGAAGGGCCAAUUCAAAUUCAUCCGAGGGGCCGUAAAAGUUCUCCAAGGGCCGUACUAUGAACACAAACCAGGAUUUUCCCCUUCACUUUAGACCUAUAUUGAAGGCAGCCACAUUUAAACAAACACCACCUUCUUCAGCUUCCCUGAAUAUAACUUAAUUGUAUUGCAAAUGUAUUUUCUAAGGUUCCUUUACAAAAUAUGUCAUAUUUUAUGUGAAGCUGAAUAACAUUACAAUUAUAUCGGGGACCAGAUAAAACGGCCUCAAGGGUCGCAAACGGCCCUCAAGACAUAGGUUCCCCACCCCUGGCCUACAUUGGCAAUAUGACUUGUGCUACUUUAUAGAUAAGUUCUCAAUGCUGUGCAUUGCUAUGUUUUGAUUUAUUUUCUUACAUCCUACAUAUCCUGGCAGGGAGACAUAGUGCAUGAGACCAUAGAAGACUGAAAUAGGACAUUAUCCCUGUUGGGCUCAAUAUGACUUGCUUAUUGAUAUAUUUGCUAUGUCAAUAUGAGGUGCAUGGUGAAGUAUUAAUUUAUUUGUUGUUUCUACAGCUCCCAGAAGUGAGACUGAGUGCCUGUUGCAGUAUGACGAGGACGCAGUGACCAGAGACCUUCA